ACACACACACAUCACAUAACCCAUACACACACACAAACACACAUCACACCACAUCACACACACACACAUUCAACACACACACAGACACACAUCACACACACAACACACACACAUAUCACUCCACACACACACAUACACAUCACACACACAAAUACAUCACUAAAAUCACGCACACGAUCACACAUCACAGCACACAUACACAUCACACACACACACACACAGCACAGCACAUCACAUAUGGCACGCAUACACAUAUAUCAAUACACACACACAUAUCACAUACACACACAUCACACCAAUCACCACAUCAACAAGACAAACACCACGCAUCACAUUCAUCACACGCACAUCACACACACAUAUAUACUCACCAUUCACACACAUCAUGCCACACCAGACCAUCAGCACACACACAUCACACACAUCAACACAACAUACACACAUAGCACACAUCCAUCACACACUACACACACACAUCACACAAACACACACAUCACAUUAUCACACACAUCACACACACACAAUCACACAUACACAUAUACAAAAUCACACACACGAGAGAUGCACACAACACGACACACACACACAUCACACACACACACACACAUCACCCACACAUCACACACAGACACAUCACACACACAUCACACACAAACACAAAAAGAGACACACACACACACACACAUCACACACACAGACACAUACACAUCACACAAACGUCACACAUACAUCACACAUACAUCACACACACACUCACACACACACACACACACAAUACACACACACACACAUCACAUAACCCAUACACACACACAAACACACAUCACACACAUCACAGACAUAUCACACACAUAUCACACACACACAUCACACACACACACAUCACACACACAUCACACACACACAUAUUACACACACAUCAGACACACAUCACACACAAACACACACACAUAUCACCCCCACACACACAUACAUACACAUCACACACAAAUACAUCACUAAAAUUACACACACAUCACACAUCACACACACAUCACACAUCACACACACACACACACACACACGCACGCACACACAUAUGGCACGCAUACACAUAUAUCAUAUCAAACACACACAUAUCACAUACACACACACAUCACACACACAUCACACACAUACACAGACAAACACACACGCAUCACAUUCAUCACACGCACAUCACACACACAUAUAUCACACACACAUCACACAUACAGAUACACAACACACACACAUCACACACACACACACAAACACACCCACACACAUAUAUCACACACACAC
Molecule: long non-coding RNA, 1302 nt
Filed under: Lathyrus oleraceus (garden pea)
Lineage: Eukaryota; Viridiplantae; Streptophyta; Magnoliopsida; Fabales; Fabaceae
Description: Pisum sativum (pea) long non-coding RNA (PSAT_LNC039679)
Source: RNAcentral